CGAAGCCACGCCCCCAGCAACCCUCUGCCGCAAGAGAGGCCCUGGUCUGGCCCUCUGUGCCUGACGUGCCGCCUCUGACCCAGCGACUGUUCCUGACUGACCACAGGGAGGAGCCUGUGCACAAUCAUGGAGGGCGCUGGCAAGUCUGGUGGAGAGGGAAGGAAUUCAGGAAGGAAAAUUAAGAGAGUGGGUACCAGGCAGAUUUCUGGAUGAGGCCCAGAGGAGCAUUUUUAUUCAUCCAUUCAUUCAACAAGGGACUAUGUCGUAUCCAACUUGUAUCCCUAGAGCAUAACACAACGUCUACACGUAAGAGAGAAAGUAAGUGCUUGUUAAAAUUGAGCACUUUGGCCGGUUGUGAUGGCUCACAUG
Chlorocebus sabaeus (green monkey) is the source of this 369-nucleotide non-coding RNA. The record is from RefSeq and is a predicted model, not a curated record. NCBI's taxonomy places the organism in Eukaryota, Metazoa, Chordata, Mammalia, Primates, Cercopithecidae.